Hylaeus anthracinus is the source of this 523-nucleotide long non-coding RNA. RefSeq lists it as uncharacterized. Lineage: Eukaryota; Metazoa; Arthropoda; Insecta; Hymenoptera; Colletidae. The record is from RefSeq and is a predicted model, not a curated record. The transcript is spliced from 3 exons.
AAUUUUAACCAUUUUAACGUCCCCGCGAAAAUUGUACGAUUGCUUGCAAUCGCGAGGUAAGAUAUUCACUAGAAGAUUAUAAAAAACGGGCACUCAACAAGUGGAGUAAUAGUUAACGGAAACAGUCGAAAGUUUUGGCUGUUGGAAACGCAGCGCAGGCGGCAUCUGUGCACGGAAGCUGCGCUUUGAAGCUGCUCUGCACUUUCCAGACGUGGGUCACACGUGAUUCCUAAACGAUUUCAAUGGCGACUCUAUGACCUCAGCCGAGCGCUACUGCAUCGGUAAAGGCCUACCUCAACAAUUCCGAGCUACCUACUUUCUCCGGAUUUAUUCGAAGCCAAGCGUUUCGCCCAUCUCUGCCAGUUGAAACUUUCAACAAAAGCAGAAUCGGUUGCGAAUGUUCCAAUGCUCCCUCGCAAGUGAAAUUAAUCGCGCGCGAGGGCGUCAACGACAAUUGUCACAGAGAUCAGCCGAUACGAAUGACGGAGCAGAGAAAAGAAAUAUCUGAAAUUCCGUCCAUUUG